RNAcentral lists this ribosomal RNA (393 nucleotides) under Mantidactylus opiparis. RNAcentral describes it as "partial 16S ribosomal RNA". It matches the Rfam family "Bacterial large subunit ribosomal RNA", at positions 2039 to 2597 of the family's 2925-position model. The record is from RNAcentral. Lineage: Eukaryota; Metazoa; Chordata; Amphibia; Anura; Mantellidae.
AAACUGAUCUCUCCGUGAAGAAGCGGGGAUACUCCUAUAAGACGAAAAGACCCCAUGGAGCUUCAAACCCAACUACACCCUUAACUACCACAACCGCACAACCUCUUAGGGCCCUGUAUAGUUGGUUUUAGGUUGGGGCGACCACGGAGUACAACCAAACCUCCGCAAUGGACGGGACCACUCCCUUAUCUAAGAGCCACACCUCUAAGAAUUAAAACACUAACAUAAAAUGAUCCAUGAUCUGAUCAAUGAACCAAGUUACCCUGGGGAUAACAGCGCAAUCCAUUUCAAGAGCCCUUAUCGACAAGUGGGUUUACGACCUCGAUGUUGGAUCAGGGUAUCCUAGUGGUGCAGCAGCUACUAAUGGUUCGUUUGUUCAACGAUUAAAACCCU